UUGUGGAACAUUGAUUGGUUGUUUUUUGUAUUAAAAUAGGAAGCUGUUAAGGUGGUGCUUUCAUUGUUUGCUAAGCAUGUUUCAGCAAUGUUUGUUCACCUCACGUCCAUAAAUUCUUUAUAGGACUGUGAAAAUUUAUUCUGUUAUGUAAAACAUUAAAGUCUAGUCAUGUCGUAUAAAUUAUUAGUUACGUACAAGUGUUAUUCGUUUUUUUAUCUAAUGAAAUUUAUGUGUGUUCCAUCACUUUAUACAAAUAUUUAUAUGUGUAGGUGACUUGUGAUAUUAUUAUUUCAUAUAAACUAUUUCUUUUGACUCCACUUAGUGAAAGAAGAAUAUAAUUGUUGUAUUGAUGGUAAUUAAUAAGUAGGGUUAAAUAUGUUUUUGGUCCCUAAUUAUCUUUUCAUUUUAGUCCCUCUAAAAUUUUCCUUCAACUU
RNAcentral lists this long non-coding RNA (434 nucleotides) under Medicago truncatula (barrel medic). Its description in RNAcentral is "lncRNA gene29737". The record is from RNAcentral. Lineage: Eukaryota; Viridiplantae; Streptophyta; Magnoliopsida; Fabales; Fabaceae.